UGCAAAUCAAUAUAAAUUGAUUUUUUUAUUAUUUAUUUAUUAAUUUUUUUUUAUUAAAAAAUUUUUAUAUAAUAUUAUUAAAAAUAAUUAUUAAAUUAUUUUGUUUUAGUAGUUUUUAAUGAAAAAAUAUUUUUUAUUAUAAUUUAUUUGUAUUGUAAAAAAUUAUUGAAAUAUUUUGAAAAAUUUUUAUAAUAAAAGAAAAAUUAAUUUUUUGUACCUUGUGUAUCAGGGUUUAUUAAAUAAUUAAUAAUUAUAUUUAUUAAUCUCGAUUUUAUAAGAGUUAAUAAUUUAUGAAAGUUAAUGUUUUAAAAUUAUUUUUAAUAAGUUAUUUGAAAUGAAAUGUUAUUCGUUUAUAAAGAUAUCUAGUUUUUUUAGAAAUGAAUUUAAUUUAUGAAUUUUUGAUAUUAUUUAUUGUUUUGUUAAUAAAUAAAUUUAUUAAUUUUAGUAUUUUAAGGGAUAAGCUUUAAAAUAAAAAUUUUAAAAAUUUAAUAAAUUUUUAUUUAAAUUAUAUGCAUAGAAUUAGCAAUUAUUAAUAAUUUUGUUAUAAAUUAUUAUAUAAAAUAUAUUAUUUAUUAAUAUUUUAAUUUUUUUAUAAAAAUUUUUUUUUAAUUUAAUUUAAGAAGAAAUAAUGAUGAAAUUAGUAUAUAAUAAUGUUUAAAUAUUUUUAUUUGAUAAGUUUAUAUAAAGAAUUCGGCAAAUAUUAUAUUCGCCUGUUUAACAAAAACAUGUCUUUUUGAGUUAAUUUUAAAGUCUAACCUGCCCAAUGAAUAAUUUUUAAUGGCCGCAGUAUUUUAACUGUGCAAAGGUAGCAUAAUCAUUAGUUUUUUAAUUGAAAGCUUGUAUGAAUGGUUGGACGAAAUAUAAUCUGUUUCAUAUAAAUUUAUUAUAAAAUUUUAUAUUUUAGUAAAAAAGCUAAAAUUUUUUUAAAAGACGAGAAGACCCUAUAAAUCUUUAUAUUUUUUAUUGUAUAAAUUUUUUAGAUUUAAUUUUAUUUUUAUAAUAAAAAAUAUUUUGUUGGGGUGAUAUUAAAAUUUAAUUAACUUUUAAUUUAUUUAACAUUGAUUUAUGAAUUGUUGAUCCAUUAUUAAUGAUUAUAAGAAUAAGUUACUUUAGGGAUAACAGCGUAAUUUUUUUGGAGAGUUCUUAUUGAUAAAAAAGUUUGCGACCUCGAUGUUGGAUUAAGAUAUAAUUUUAGGUGUAGUUGCUUAAAUAAUAAGUCUGUUCGACUUU
RNAcentral lists this ribosomal RNA (1230 nucleotides) under Hendrella caloptera. RNAcentral's name for it is "partial 16S ribosomal RNA". The record is from RNAcentral. Lineage: Eukaryota; Metazoa; Arthropoda; Insecta; Diptera; Tephritidae.